GUUGAGAAAAACUAUACACAAAAACUACAUAAAAGCAAAAAGCUAAAACCUCAUAUCAACUUGUCAUAAGAACUUAAGUACACCCACAAAAGAAAAAAGACCUUUGUUAGGCUCAUGGCUUUUGAGCAUUAGCCCUAACCCAGCAAGACUGCAGUUAAACGGACUGAACUGCUGAAGAGCAUACAAAUAACCAAAAUUAGUUCACAAGCCAAUUGGAAUCUCCCAUUUCCUGUUUGUGUAUGAUGACAAAUAUCUGGUAAUUACAUGUAUAAAUAAAUACAUUUCAAUGUAUUUAAUUAAUUUUAAUAUGUGUGACAACACAGUGUGAUUAUUUCAGUAAUAGCUGUAAAUGAUGUCAGUUUGCACACUGAAAAUGCCAAAGUCUCAGGCUAGUCUCUGCUCCAUUCAAGAAAACCUGGCUGCAGACAAGAUGGCAGGCGCCAACCAUGAUGGUCAUCCGUAUACAGGAAGUCACGUAACAGCCAACAACAGGAACUGAAUGUCAGGACAAGUAACGAGGAAGCCGUUUCCCAGCUACCAGCUUGGAACAGUUGUGGAGUCUGUGCACAUCACCAAGCGGCGGAGAGUCAUCUGGCUUCUGGAGAAGAGUAACCAGAUGUGGCAAGAGAGUCAUGGAGUUGAACCACUCAAGUCCCACAUGAAAUGAUCUACGUUGAUGAGGCUGGCUUUAACUUGGCAAAAAAGGCAACGGCGCGGAAGAAACAUAAUUGGCAAAAGGGCCACAGUUACCGUGCCGGGCCAGAGGGGAACCAUCAUCACUUUGUGGGCCGCAAUCUCCAGUAAAGGUCCACUCUUGUAUAAAUGUGAGACUGGCCCCUACAGCACCGACUGCCUUCUCCUGUUUUUAGACGACCUGUAUGAAAGACAGGUGGGAGAUCACUUGCCAAUAUAUGUGAUCACAUGGGACAAUGUGGCAUUCCACCAUUCCUGUGCAGUCACAACCUAGUUUGACGCCCAUGCGAGGAUGAUGUCCCUUACUCCCCUUUCCUCAACCCCACUGAGGAGUUUUUCUCAGCCUGGAGAUGGAGGGUUUUUGACCAUUGUCCACAGGACCAAAUGUCCGUCUUAGAUGCAAUGGAUGCUGCAUGCCAAGACAUCACAGCACUGAACCAUAGACAGUAUUUUACUGGACGAAGCCACCCCGCCGAUUUGAAUGGAGAGCAGUGAAGCCAAUUUUUGACCAAUAAAAUACAACUACAGGGCUUCUUCCUGUCGGCACAGGCGUCUUCUGUACAUGAUCGCGCAGCAAAACCGUGGUUUAAUGACGUAGAGCAGCAGCAGAAACACUGUAAUUCUGGUAGCUGCAUAGCUGCACAAACAAAAGUCUCUUGGCUCAGUGUGUUUGUGUGACUCAGAUGGUCUCUGUUUAAUCAGCCCACCUACGAGGCUCAUCUACCAAACACCAGCAGCGUCACUGAUGGCACGAGUAGUUGUUUUAGAUUCACUCAAAGUUCAUAAUCUAAGCAAUACGGUUACAUCUCGCAUGUCCGACGGGAUGUCACGGGGUUUUGACGUAAUUUUUGGGCCUACACGGAACCGUCCAUGCAUCACUGUUUGAACUGUGGCUUACCGCCUUGCACUGGAUAAGGUGGAUAAGGCAUGCAAAAAGAUUCUUCCCUAGAUGCCUUACCAGAGAAGAUAUCAGGUGUGAUGUGGAUGAGAACAUGUGGCCAAAUGCAGAAGACUGGGCAGAUUAGAAGAUGACUUUUUUGUUUGUUAAUUGUUUUGUGUUUUUUUUUCUGUUUGAAUAUUUUGUAUUUUCACAUUAAUAAUAUAUAUUUUUGUCCUGUUGCAAAUAGAGCCUUUACUGCAACAAUUCUGUCUCUGUCAUCUUUUUUGUUAAUAAA
This is a long non-coding RNA of Micropterus salmoides (largemouth bass), 1868 nucleotides long. RefSeq lists it as uncharacterized. Lineage: Eukaryota; Metazoa; Chordata; Actinopteri; Centrarchiformes; Centrarchidae. The transcript has 3 exons. The record is from RefSeq and is a predicted model, not a curated record.